RNAcentral lists this ribosomal RNA (490 nucleotides) under uncultured bacterium. RNAcentral describes it as "partial 16S ribosomal RNA". It matches the Rfam family "Bacterial small subunit ribosomal RNA", at positions 30 to 507 of the family's 1533-position model. The record is from RNAcentral.
AUUGAACGCUGGCGGCAGGCCUAACACAUGCAAGUCGAACGGUAACAGGAAGCAGCUUGCUGCUUCGCUGACGAGUGGCGGACGGGUGAGUAAUGUCUGGGAAACUGCCUGAUGGAGGGGGAUAACUACUGGAAACGGUAGCUAAUACCGCAUAACGUCGCAAGACCAAAGAGGGGGACCUUAGGGCCUCUUGCCAUCGGAUGUGCCCAGAUGGGAUUAGCUAGUAGGUGGGGUAACGGCUCACCUAGGCGACGAUCCCUAGCUGGUCUGAGAGGAUGACCAGCCACACUGGAACUGAGACACGGUCCAGACUCCUACGGGAGGCAGCAGUGGGGAAUAUUGCACAGUGGGCGCAAGCCUGAUGCAGCCAUGGCGCGUGUAUGAAGAAGGCCUUCGGGUUGUAAAGUACUUUCAGCGGGGAGGAAGGGAGUAAAGUUAAUACCUUUGCUCAUUGACGUUACCCGCAGAAGAAGCACCGGCUAACUCCGUG